CGGCUGCGGCCCACUGCAUAAUUAACAACGUGCCGCCAGGUGUUGCACGGUUUAUGACUAGCCCCCUUGUGGCUAUACCGACGGAACACGCCACGAUUCGACGCGUGAAAUUUGGGAUUUCACGGCGAGACUCGAGACGAACGAGCACGUUCUCACGCACGCAAUCUAAUGAGCUGACACAACUCAGGGAGACACGUAUGCGAAGCUUCAAUGGGGAUCAGAUCUCGCGAUCAAGGGAACGACCAACGACCGGUUGACCGACGACCAAUUUCGCCGAUGCCUCGCUGUAGCUUUCUGCCAGCUCUGUCGAUAAUGCAGCCGUACGAUCACACAACGUUAAGUCAACAAGACGCGUAUGCACACGUUCGUACAGGCCGCGUCGUUGCGGCAAACUGACUGACUGACUGACUGACUCAAUGAGAAAAGGUCUACAGCAGCCCGUCUUCUUGCUGUGAGUCCGAGAGCAAGAUCUCUAUCUCUUAAGGGGUCCCGAUACGGUUGGGGAUAAGGGUGCGUGCACAACGAUUUGCAAGAUCGAUAUUCGAUGCUUCUUUUGAAACUUAACCGAUCAUACUUUCUGACAUAAUCUCCAUUGGAUUUUCUUAACUUCUUCUUUGAUAUUUUUAAUAUUUUUUAAUUUUGCUACAUUGCUUGCC
RNAcentral lists this unclassified non-coding RNA (656 nucleotides) under Bombus terrestris (buff-tailed bumblebee). RNAcentral's name for it is "misc RNA ENSBTSG00005024877.1". The record is from RNAcentral. Lineage: Eukaryota; Metazoa; Arthropoda; Insecta; Hymenoptera; Apidae.